AUUGGGGUGGCAGAGCCAGGCACAAAUGCGAAAGACCUAAGCCCUUUAUUCAGGGGUUCAACUCCCCUCCCCAAUC
Molecule: transfer RNA, 76 nt
Filed under: Geoclemys hamiltonii
Lineage: Eukaryota; Metazoa; Chordata; Testudines; Geoemydidae
Description: tRNA-Leu
Rfam family: tRNA
About the family: Transfer RNA (tRNA) molecules are approximately 80 nucleotides in length. Their secondary structure includes four short double-helical elements and three loops (D, anti-codon, and T loops). Further hydrogen bonds mediate the characteristic L-shaped molecular structure. tRNAs have two regions of fundamental functional importance: the anti-codon, which is responsible for specific mRNA codon recognition, and the 3' end, to which the tRNAs corresponding amino acid is attached (by aminoacyl-tRNA synthetases). tRNAs cope with the degeneracy of the genetic code in two manners: having more than one tRNA (with a specific anti-codon) for a particular amino acid; and 'wobble' base-pairing, i.e. permitting non-standard base-pairing at the 3rd anti-codon position.
Source: RNAcentral